UACGUAGGGUGCGAGCGUUACUCGGAAUUACUGGGCGUAAAGCGUGCGCAGGCGGUUUUGUAAGCCAGAUGUGAAAUCCCCGGGCUUAACCUGGGAAUGGCAUUUGGGACUGCAAAGCUUGAGUGUGGCAGAGGGGACUGGAAUUCCUGGUGUAGCAGUGAAAUGCGUAGAGAUCAGGAGGAAUACCGAUGGCGAAGGCAGGUCCCUGGGCUGACACUGACGCUCAUGCACGAAAGCGUGGGGAGCAAACAGG
Molecule: ribosomal RNA, 253 nt
Filed under: uncultured bacterium
Lineage: Bacteria
Description: partial 16S ribosomal RNA
Rfam family: Bacterial small subunit ribosomal RNA
Source: RNAcentral